This 2653-nucleotide unclassified non-coding RNA is filed under the name Acyrthosiphon pisum (pea aphid). Its description in RNAcentral is "dynein regulatory complex protein 11-like, transcript variant X1". The record is from RNAcentral. Lineage: Eukaryota; Metazoa; Arthropoda; Insecta; Hemiptera; Aphididae.
CGUAUUACACACACGUAAAACGGACACAGUCGUCCGUCCUGUCGGCCGCGUAUUGGUCGGUGGCGCGCGUGCAACCAUCCCGGAGUGGGAGCUGCCGCACAACUGGUUUCACCUCGUCGGGUGGUGAGCUUUUCGCGCGGCCGACGACGACGUCAUCGUGGUCGAAUCUUCGUUGCCAAGGCAACGUCGCCGCCGCUGUGCGCAUUAUUGUUAUUACCAUUACUAUAGUCACUACACACACAAUAUUAUAAUAAUAUCUAAUAUAAAAAUAUAAUGUAUUAUAUUUCGAUCGCCACUCGGCCGGAGUAGGAGGUGUUGUGUUCGCACGAUUGGUCGCGUAGAUACGGCUCGUUUUACUAUCCACUAUUAUUAUUAUUAUUAUUAUUUAAUCGCCGUCUUUCGCCUCGGUCUACUGUCUCGGUCGUCCUCGUCGCACUGCACAUAAUAGGGUUGUAAUAAGAUUAACCAUAACCUAUAUAGGUACGUACUCCCUUCGUCGUCCGCCACGAUUUCGAUUGUCUUGGCGACACCGCCGCACCUGGUAUGAUCGUCAACCACCGCUGUAGUACCGGAUCCGCGUGGAAGGAAGCCGUCGGGCGGUUGCGGCAGAUCGAGAGGGACGAUCGGGCGUUUGUGCGAGACGCCCCGAACACCGACAGAAACCUGGUGCGCGCCACGGCAGCAAGGCUGUACGUUAGAUAUAUGGUGACUAGUAACGAACUAACGGCAUGCCAUAACAACAUUAUACAACCACAGUUACGGAUUUUUAUAAAAAAAUUAUUAAUGUGCACUUUUGGACGUAUACUUGAACUCAAACAAAUUCUUAUUGGUGAAGACUUCUCAAUAUACACACCAAUAAUUGAAGAAUUGAAUAAUAUGAAAAUAACCUAUGACCAGUUUGAAUUAAGUAUACCUCGAUGUUUCCGAAAUGAGAGACUAUCAUUUUUAAACGAUAUGGACAAUAAGAUAGAUGAAAUAAAUAACCGUAUUUUAAUAGAAAAAAACAAUAACUUAUUAAGCGAAAUAAAAAACGAAAGUAUUGAAAUAGACGAUGUAAAGCGGUCUAGCACUAGUCAAUUGAUCAGUCAUGAAUCAUCCGAAUCCUAUUUCGAUGUAGAUAAAUUCGUUUUUGAUACACAACCUGUAAUUACAUUUGAAAAAAUUACAAGUGCAGAUAAUUCAAGAGAAUUGUCUAUAAAACUCAUUCAAAAACAUAUCAGAGCAGUAAGAGAUCGUGUGGCUGUCAAUGAAUUAAUAUUUGCUAGAAUAACUAGAAGCAAUAUAAUUUCCGGGAAGUAUAAACAGCCUAGCAAAGAGAAAGGCCAGGAAGCGGCAGUUAAGAUUCAACGAUUUUGGAGACAUUAUCGAAUAAUGACAAUAGUUAAUGCUAGGAAACUAAAACGACACAUUCAACUUGGUAUGUUUAUGACUAGUGAAAAACUGAAUUUCGAUAUUAAUCGUGAACUAGAGGAUACAAUUCGAAUACAACAAACUGAAGCAGAUAUAGAGUAUCGUAAAAUUAUAAGUAAAUUGGAAGACAAUUUUAUCCAACGCAACAAAUAUGAAAUAAUAGAAGAAAUCGAAGAUGAGCUUAGGGCAUACGUGUGGACAUAUUUUGAAAUGUGUCAUCAUUUACCGUCUUGGCCGAAUUCAAAACCUAUCAUGUUCUCUGACGAUGAUGAUAAAAUUAUUGGAUUACCCCCGAUAGUUUUAUCGCCAGCUAUCUUAAAACAGUUAAAUAUACCGAAUGUACAUUAUAAGUCAGCAUUAAAACAACGAUUACCACUUGGAGGUUCAGCUAUUAUUCAAACAGGAAGGUGGAUGACUAUAAAAAUGGCUGAAAUACUUGCAAUGUUAAUUAUAGAAUUUGAAAAUAAACCAGCAAAAGAGAGAAAUGUUCUAAUCAAACAACUGGCAGAAAAAAAUAAAAUUGAAAAAGCAAAAAAUGUUGAAACCGCAAAACUUAAGGAAAGGUUAUUAGCAGCAAUUAAAAUUGUGGGCAUUGUUUUGGAAUCAAGUGAGUUAACGGAAUGGUUUAAAGAAACGUUUAAUGAAUAUGAUAGUAAUUGGGCGUUAGAUAGUGGAAUCGAAAAUGAACCUAGGGAAGAUCUAAUAAAAUCUGAAAUUUAUUCAAAGGCUCAAGUGGAACUUAGAACUAUAGUUGAUGAAACCAUUAAGGAAGAAUUAAAUAUUCUAAAAAUGGCAUAUGCCCAGGAUUUGAGUAAAAUCGUUAUUAAAAUAUUUUAUACAUUUAAAAUGUUAGUUUUUAAUAUGCACUAUAUAAACUGAUUACAGAAAAGAAAUAUAAAAAACCAAAAAUAAAAAGCAAAAAAAUAAAAAAAGGUCGAAAAAAAAAAAUAUUAACACCAGAUCCAAAUGAAAUCUUUGAAGAGUUGGUUAAAAACAAUUUAAUUAAAAAGUCAGUAACCUCUAGAUUUAUAGAUUUUCAAGGAGAAGUAUCAUUCAGCGCUAGUGUAUUAAGAGAAAAACCAUAUUAUUCUGAUCCACCAUAUUGCUUAGGUGAUAUACGUCAAAUUAUCAAAGAGUUUUGUGUUAUUGGUUUGAUUUUUGAGGAGCUUCGUACAUUAAAAAAUAUUGAAUUCAGUCGAUCACUAUUGAUAGCUGGUCCAAAAAAGUCUGGAAAAUCAAUGUU